GUGCUUAUUGUGGUUGCACAUAUACUAAAAUCAGAAAGAUACAGAGAUUAGCAUCGCUGAUGAGCAAGAAUGACAUUCGAAUUUGGCUUGUUUUGUUUUUUUUU
This is a small nuclear RNA of Gracilinanus agilis (Agile Gracile Mouse Opossum), 104 nucleotides long. Lineage: Eukaryota; Metazoa; Chordata; Mammalia; Didelphimorphia; Didelphidae. The record is from RefSeq and is a predicted model, not a curated record.